This 292-nucleotide ribosomal RNA is filed under the name uncultured bacterium. Its description in RNAcentral is "partial 16S ribosomal RNA". It matches the Rfam family "Bacterial small subunit ribosomal RNA", at positions 505 to 796 of the family's 1533-position model. The record is from RNAcentral.
GUGUCAGCAGCCGCGGUAAGACAGAGGGUGCAAACGUUGUUCGGAAUUACUGGGCGUAAAGCGCGUGUAGGCGGUCUAGCAAGUCGGAUGUGAAAGCCCUUGGCUCAACUGAGGAAGUGCAUUCGAAACUGCGAGACUUGAGUCCCGGAGAGGAUGGUGGAAUUCUCGGUGUAGAGGUGAAAUUCGUAGAUAUCGAGAGGAACACCGGUGGCGAAGGCGGCCAUCUGGACGGUGACUGACGCUGAGACGCGAAAGCAUGGGGAGCAAACAGGAUUAGAAACCCUAGUAGUCC